CAGGCCAUAGCUUAAUAAUAGUAAAGCCCCUCUCUUACGCUGAGGCUACAUCUGUGCGAAUCGGAUUGCCCUGA
This 74-nucleotide transfer RNA is filed under the name Datnioides polota (four-banded tigerfish). RNAcentral describes it as "tRNA-Val". It matches the Rfam family "tRNA". Rfam says of the family: Transfer RNA (tRNA) molecules are approximately 80 nucleotides in length. Their secondary structure includes four short double-helical elements and three loops (D, anti-codon, and T loops). Further hydrogen bonds mediate the characteristic L-shaped molecular structure. tRNAs have two regions of fundamental functional importance: the anti-codon, which is responsible for specific mRNA codon recognition, and the 3' end, to which the tRNAs corresponding amino acid is attached (by aminoacyl-tRNA synthetases). tRNAs cope with the degeneracy of the genetic code in two manners: having more than one tRNA (with a specific anti-codon) for a particular amino acid; and 'wobble' base-pairing, i.e. permitting non-standard base-pairing at the 3rd anti-codon position. The record is from RNAcentral. Lineage: Eukaryota; Metazoa; Chordata; Actinopteri; Lobotiformes; Datnioididae.